Non-coding RNA from Xyrichtys novacula (pearly razorfish), 8303 nucleotides. The record is from the annotation of a GenBank genome assembly. NCBI's taxonomy places the organism in Eukaryota, Metazoa, Chordata, Actinopteri, Labriformes, Labridae.
AUUUGGAAAAGGUUAAGUAACCGUUUCUCCUGCUGCCUCAUUGGUCCACGGAGAAACCAUUAUUACUAUAACACGCUGCUGCUGCUGCUGCAGUGUUCUCCGGGUUUAUCACAGCAUCUUUACCUUUAAUUCAGGCUGUUACCAUGGAGAUUACCUUUCUCAUCACCUCCAGAUUACAGAGCUGGUUUUCUCAGAACAAUCAGAUCAGUUUAAGUCAUCUGGAGAUAAAUCUGAUGGUUGUGCCGCCUCUGAGAAAAAAACAUGGAGAGUUUUUAAAAUAAUGACUUAUUUUUGAUAUGAUUAACCCUUUAAUGCCUGACACCAAAAAUUAUGGCCUGAAAAUUCUAAUUUUUUUUGGAGCUGAAAUGUUUAUUUCAUUUAAUACUGAAUACCAAAAAAAUAUAUAUAUAUUUUUUAACAAAUAUAUUUAUUUAUCUCCUUUGAUUCAUUAGAUGUUUUUGGAAACUGAUAAACUACAAGAGGACAUUUUUAUCAUUUGUCGGACUGUAUUCAGGUGUUUUUUUAGUCAUUCGUUGAUCAGAUUGAUUUGAUAGAAGUUUAUAAAAAUGUGCAUCAAAUAUGAUACAAAAGGCAUUAGAGGAAAACAUAAGAGUCCAUAAACUUUCCUGACCAUCAGGACGUCUGAUAUCUGACUGCAGGUUCUAUCUGGACGUCGUCUCUUCUUUUACACAAACUCUGAGUUAAUUUAAAGAAUUUAUUUAAAAAUGCACUCGGUUUUAUUCUGAAACUAAAACUUAUCUUCUUCAGUUUGCUCGCAGCAUGGAGCCUCUUUAAAAUCUGACGAUCUGACACAGAUUGGUCCACAGACUCGUCCCUGGAUCAUUAGACCUGCAGCUUAUUUACUGAUCAAACAAACUGAGAUUUGAUUUCAGGGAAAAGCCUCGGAGGGUCGACCUCCGUCUCUGUGACUGACUGCUCCUCCAGACUCUCUCUGAACCGCUUCACUACAGUCGACUUCUCUCCAUCUGGAUCUUCAGGUCAAAACACUCAGAGUUAAACUCAUUCUCUAAGAUUUAACCUGAAGUUAACCUCAGUCUGAAAAUAAACGACUCUUUGACCAAUUCAUCAGUCCAGAACCACAGAGUCCGGUUUAAAGAGCUGUGACCGUCCACUGGAGGCAGCUUGGACCCGUUUGUCCACAUGCUGAUACACACACACACACACACACACACACACACACACACACACACACACACACACACACACACACACACUAUCAUUAAACUCUUGACCCCUGCUGCGUCCGUCACUCUGACCAAAACCCGCUCCUUUAGUUCUCUGACUUCUGUCUGUGUCAGCUCCUCGAUUAUUUGGUCGUCUUCAUCUCUCUCCAGCCGGAUCACCUGAUCAGUCACACCUAUAUAAAUCAGCUGUUGUGAGUGGAUGACGGUUCUGCCCGCUCCAAAAGCUCUAUGUUCCCAAACCGCUGAAAUCAGUCUGCUAACAAUGUGAGAAACAACAAACGAGCACUUUAAAAGCAGGACUUAAACUUCCUUUAACAGGCAGAAACCCUGAGCAGAACCAGACUCAUGUUUAACAGUCUUCUGCCCCAAAAGAGAAGAUCAAACUCUGAAAACACCAGACCCAAAGUUAAGGUUUCUGUUCAACGGGCAGAAUCCUCCAAGAAUCAAAGACUUCAUUUAUAGUAGAAAUUAAAUAUCGAUCCAUGUGUAAACAUCUAUAAACACCAGCCUUCAGGAAGACGACCUCAGACAGGCAGAGACAUGCUGAGAAAGAUCUCACACCUCUGAAAUCAAACACUGAAGAAGUGGGCCACGGUGAGAGACCUGGAGCUGGACCGGACUCACAGGUGGACCGGACUCACAGGUGGACCGGACUCACAGGUGGACCGGACUCACAGGUGGACCGGACUCACAGGUGGACCACCAUCUGCCUGAGAAAGAUCGAGCUCAUUUAAAGAGAUCCAUGAUGAGCAGAACAUCCACUCUGUGCCGACCGUCUGACUGCGUCGUGUUCAACAUGAUACCUGCUUCAUUUCCUUCAUGAUUGAAAGUUGAUCAAUCUGAACUCCAGCCGCUCAUUCAGCCAAUCAGCAUGAAGAGUCCGUGGAGGUAAAUGUCAACAAAUGAAUUUAAUUGGAUAACGGGGACAAACAGAUGGUGACGGUGAUGAUACGCAGCGACCUGAGCUAAAGGAAACAAGUUUUUACAACAAGGUGACGGGAAGAAGGUCGGAUCGUCUGAUUGGUUGUUUUAACACAACAGAUCCUCUCAGUGAGGUUCGACUCUGUUUGAUGUGGGAGCCCCGCCCCUCCUCUCCUGUCAAAACGCUCCCGCACUAAAAACACAAACGAAGCGAGGAGAUGAUUUUAUUAUUUGCGUUUGGCGUGGAGAUCAAAGUCGUAGUAAUGGGACUGAGUGGCGUCUGUGCAGCUCACAUUGUUUGUUUACCUCUGAGAGGUUAUGACAUCAUGACAUGUGAAACCGUACAGACCGUGUCAGCGAUCCUCUGCUGCUGUGGGAUCAAUAUGAGAGUAUGAAGGAGGGAUGAUGGCGGCGCUGUGUGAUGGCGUUUUAGUGGACUUAAGAAACGACCACGAUGAUAAUGUCCAGAGCGGGGGGGUCGGACUGGACUGGCAGAGGUAUUCUGUGACACUAUGGGGGUGUGGACUUGCCCCUUUUUACAACAGCUGAUAUCCCUGAUAACAGUCCGGUAUCCAUUACUCGAUGCUCCGUCCAGCCGCCAUUACAAAUUACCUGGAGGUCACGACCUUAGAGCCACUCAGCUUCCUCGCCGCUCUCCCCCCCAGCCGACUGCCGGCCAGUACCAUUCAAUACCUCAGGUCCAGUUUCCCCAUCUGUAUCUAUCACCCCCACAGUCCCAUAGUCGUGUCUGGACCGGCUCGGGGGGGUGGCGGGGGUGUUGGCGCCUAAACAGCAGCAGAUGUGUCUCCGCUGAGAACACCGGCCCUAAUUAACUUCAAUGGAUUUCCUAAUGCGACAGCUACCAUAUUUCAUUUACCGCGCACCCGGACCCCAGCGGACCUGCCGACGGGGGCCAACUGAUACUGAGGGAUGUGGAGGGUGUUGGCAGUGAGAGAGAGAGAGAGAGAGGGGUGAGGAGAUGGGGGGGGAGAGAGGCGGAAACCAGAGCGGUAGACAUGACCCCUCUUACCGCCGGGAAAUCAAUUGAUUCAACGUUUUUAUGGCGCAGAGGCGGCGAGGAGAAGCUGCAGCCGAGUCAGCAACCUCAGGCAGGUGUCAGGUUUAACAGCAGAGGCGACUUAUCAUGUCAGUAAAUCAAACAUGGAGACAGUAUAAGUCAGUCCGCCCAGAGCUAAUCAAGAUAAAGGAGGAAGGAGCGAGCGUUUAAUUCACUUCUUCUUCUUCUUCUACCGUUAGUUUGUUUCAGAAAAGACGACGUGUUUUUGAGUCAAAGAACUUUAGCAGGAAGUUUUGACAUGUGGCAGUUUUGGCCAGCUGUUCAUUAAAGCUGCUGUCAGUGACUUUUAGUGUGCGCCAACUUUGGCGCCCUCUGUGGACAAAGUGAGACCUCCUGAACAAAGAUGUUUUUAGACACAAACUUUAAAGUAAAAUAAAGACAUUUCAGUCAAGAAUUAUUUUAUUUUCAUAGAGUUUCUGUUAAUUAUUAUUAUUAUUAUUAUUAUUAUUAUUAUUAUUAUUAUUACUAUUAUUAUUAUUAUUGUUGUUGUUGUUAUUAUUUUUAUUAUUAUUAUUUUCUGAGGGAAUAAGUUUAAAGUUUAGGCAGAUAUUUACUUUAUUGACUUCCUUUUUUUUAAUAUGUUUAACAAUUUUUCAAUGAACAUUAAAAUGAAAAGAAACAAUAUUUACAUAUAUUUAAACAUAAUGAUUAAAAAAACACAGGAGUACAAAACCCAGCACAUCAAGAAUUACAGCUAUAUUACAUGGUCAUAAAAUGAGUAUCAACUAUACAGAAUAUAAAGGCAAACAUAAGAUUAUGAUCGUAAUAAUAAUACUAAAAUAAAUAGGUACUUUUGUUUGCACUAUGCGCUCACCUUUCAGUACAGGGUCCCAUGUUUUAUCAAACGUAUCUCCUCUAUCUUUACUGUGUUUGACAAUUCUCCUGAGCAUAAGAUAAGAGUAAGAAAAGAGUCUGUUUUCCAAACUCGUAGAAUCAGCUUUUUAGCGAUCACCAUCCCGAACUGAACUGCACUUCUUUCAAAAGUAUUGACAGAAAAGAAGGACACAUGUGGCCCCAAGAAAGACAACCAGAGGGUUGGGUGACAGAUUUUUACCAAAGUACAUUUCUAAAAUAAAUGAAGUUUACUACCUGCCCAGAAUGAAUGUGUUAGGGUACCUAUCGAAAAAAAACAGAGACUCUCAGGGGUGUCGGACACUCGCCCUUAUUUUCCGUCUUUGACACGAAGGGUUAAAGGAGAUGAACACGUCUGCUAACAGAGAUGGAUGCAGGAGAGGAGAGGGAGUGAAGGGGGUGGGGGUAUUUAUGGUCCUGGGUCUGAUUGUUCCUGUACACGUGAGGGCGCACAGCUGGGGGAGAGGAGGGAAAUGGGGUACAGAUGUAGUGUAUCAAACACAGAGGCCUGAACUUCAAUAGAUACAUUACUGCCCCUCCCCCCCAACGCCGCCGCCACACAUCAAAAACCUCCAUCCACCUUUUUCUCACCCUUCUAGCUACCGCCCCCCCCACCGUUUUACCUGACAGACUCCUCCUUCGUUUUUUUCUCGCUCUGCGUUCAGUCCGCUUCAUCCGCCGUCGUUUACGACCGCAGCAGGUAGACAUGGAGGCUGACCGUAACAAACACACACAAACACGCGUUAGCGGCGUCCAGCCCCUAAUGACACGGGUGUAUUAUCACGCCCCAGACGACAAUACAUCACAGCUGUUCACACCAACACCCCCUCCUCUAAAACACACACAUACAUGUACACACACACACACACACAUACAUGUACACAAAUCAUCAUGAGGACGUCUGCAGGAAGGACAGGAAGUAUGGGGGGGCGCCGUGUUUUAAGGUCGUGAGGUAAAGAGCGAGGCGCAUGAAUGAAGGUAUCACUGGAGGUAGAACUGACUCUGACCUUCUUCACCUCCUCCUCCUCCUCCUCCCUGCUAACUACAGAGAGAGAGAGAGAGAGAGAGCGAGCGAGGUUCCCCAAGGAGCCGAGCUGAGACGCUGGAUAAUUCCCGGUGCUUUCCCGGGGCCUGUAGAAGCAGGGGCCCCUCUGGAUUUGUCAGUUGUGACUGCAGCUGUCUCUGGGCGAAAAUGGACCACAGUGGACCUGACACUUGAUCCCUCCUCUCUUUUUCUCUGCCCCUCUUUUAUCUCUCUCUCUCUCUUUUUGCUCCAUCGUUCCUUUCACUGUUAAAUUUUUAUCCCUCUCUCACUUUUUCUUCUCUGAGUCGACUUUAAGGACGUGAUAGACCUAAAAUCUGAGCUCAGUUCCUGUCAGUCCUUUCUUUCCUUUUACUCAUUUAACCGACCCACCGCCAUCUCCUCUAAACUCCUCCCACAUUAUCUAAGCUCUGGACGUAAACACUGAGACCUCGACCAAACAGCUGAAGUUGUGUAACAUCCAGACUUUCAGCUGAGCGAGGACAGAAACCUCCUACAGGUCGAGACGUUUGGACUUCAGAUAUUAAACUGAUUUAGUUAAAGCGUCCGCUCGCUGAAGUCGUCAUCGCCGCAAUUUUUCGUCUGUGUUUCUGACCUGGACUUAAGUAAAGUCUGGUUCUGGUUCUGGCAGGAUUAGGUGACUAAACUGGACCUGCCACAGUAUAACAGCACCGAGCAUUAAUGAGAUUAUUGUCCUGUUACUGAAGUCUGUCUAAUGUGAGCGUUUCUGUUUAUUUUAUUUUAACUGUGAUCUGCUCCUUUUUCACGGAGGCCAACUGCAGUUCCCUCCUUUGACCUUUAGGGGGAGUUUAAUCGUCGUUCUGUCACCGGUACCUGAGAAGAGCGUCUGAGCUAAUUGGCUCGCUUUCGUCCCUCCAUCACAUCUGGUUCCCAGAGCCGCUCAGUCAGACCCGGGGUCUCUAUAAAGUGGAACACCGCCCAUAAAAUCUCCAUUAGAGCGAGGCUGCCUGGAGGUCGCCGUGAGGAGAAUCAGGGGGUCAGCGCUCCACUGUAAUGCCUUUACACGUGGGGUCAGAGGUCAGCGCUGUUGACAUUCCUCCCAUGACGGUCUGAUAUAAGCAUGAUUGAUCUGCUGGCUCUGGGAAGUCCAGUCCCCUCUGGGCUCCUGAACAUUUAUGUUCUGGUCCUGCAUCUAUCUCCUCGACCGUCCGAGCGUCUCUCUCUCUCUCUCUCUGUGUCUCUCUCUCUCUCUCUCUCUCUCUCUCUCUCUCUCUCUCUCCGACCUCGGUGCUGGUGGAUCUCAGAGCUUUGGUGUCACUCAGGGAUUGACCUUGGAGGAAAAGUACCAGAGAGUGUUUAUCUGUCUUUCCUCUGAACCACAGCAGAUUAAAGAAGGGAGUCCUGAUUGAUCGCCCACUUUCUGGGCGGGGCCUCCUCAGGUUCUUCAGUUAGCAGCUCCAUGAGAGCUACAGUGGCGAGCUGAGAGUUAUCGCCCCGUCAAAUUCCACACCUUCAGAGCGCCCGCGGUCUGGGACGGGAGGUGAAGUAUCUGAGUGGUACAUUUCUGCCCCUGUUCAUACAUUCUCUGCUUUUACUGCCGACCCGUUAGAGGGUCUCCUGCAGGUCCCUCCUCCUGGUGGUGGGGGCCUUUCUUAUAGGGUUGGGCGGUGAGAAGAUCUGAAGGUAAACUGGCGAUGUCUUUCAAAAGCAAUGGUUUCAGUUUCAAUACCGUCAUAGCAUCAGCGCUGUGUUAUAUUCCUGGAGUGUAAUUACCGUAACUCCGUCAAAGCUGAGAGUUGUGGGAAUGCACCUAUAUUAGAUUCACUACGGUAGGCAGUCAUUGCAAAACACAGGAAGUAUUGACAGCUUCUCAAUACCGUAACUCUUUGAAAGUUUGCUCAAUCUGGAAAAAUCCAACACCGACAGACAGCUGAGUAUCUGAGCUUCUGUCAAUAUAUGAUCUAUGGUAUAUAUUACGGUAAUCUGGAACGGUACCAACAAAACCGCAACUUUGACAGAAGACGAGGGAGAAAAGGAGAGUGGAGGAAGACAGAGCGAGAAAAUUAAUUUUUUUUUAAAAUUUAUUGAUAAAUAUUAGUAAACAGUAAUAAUAUAAAGGUGACCACAAGAGAUGGAAACGCAUCUCUGAAUCAACCACCCACUUUGGAUGCAUUUGUCCCCGAGUUCACUCAGUGCAACAGUUUCAACGCCUCCCGCCGAUACCGACCAGGUCCAACAACAACUAAAUCCAACGCCACUCAUACACAGCUGACAGUAAUGGGGGUCUUCGGAAAAACUACGAAGUAAAAAAGGGACCGUGUCUGUUUGAAAACCUGCAGUGAUGCAGAGACAAAAACUUGACGAAGGAAACGGUCUCUGUCCACACAAUUCUGGGCUAAAUCGGUUCUGGAUGGUUCUGUUCAUUUAAUUUAUCAACUGUUUUGCACCUUUUAAGCUGUUUCUAAUAAAUAUUGUUCAUAUUGUUCACAUUAUGUUGUUAUUUAAUUAUUAGUUUUUAGUGUUUAGGUUCUGAACGGUGUCGGUACAAGCCAACAGUUUGGUGACGCUGUCUGAACCUUCAGUCAUAAUUUUAAUUAUUCACUGUAACACUGUAUACCGCGGUGAAAUUUGGACACCGCCCAACUCUACUUUCUUAGUGAAUCUAGAUUUGUUGGAAACAUCGUUCUCUGAUUUUCUCGAUCUGAUCGUCGUUGACCUUCUGUCUUUAAAACCAGGAAAUGACGAGUCUCUUACUGUAAGGAGACGAGUGAAGAAAACACGCCCAUCUUUCCCGUAGGCCGCUCCCUCAUUACGGACCACUCACAGUCCGGCUUAUCUCCCCAGAUCAGAGCCACAGUCGGGUCCAUAAUACCCCAGGAUGAACUCAAUCACAUGUAAUUGGAGGCUUUAUUUUCUCCAGCUCUGUGAAGAUAACCUCCUCGCCGCCACCGCCGCCGCGGUCUCUGCUGUCUCUGAGUAAACAAACAAACAAACAAACAAACUUGGAAACAGACGGUCAGAGGCUGGGCGGGCUGGUCAGGGUUCAGUCGCCGGGGCAACGGGAUCCCGGGCCGUUUGUUUUCCCCCUGGGAGGUGAGGCGGUGGGAUCGGGGGGGCGGCUGGUUGUUUAUUACUAUAAUUUGUCUGAGCGGCUCUGAAGGAUCUCAGGACUCUUUGAAGCGGGUCUGGAUCAAGCCUGGAGCGUGGCAUGCUGUGCCGGGACUUUAGCCCAAUUUCCAAUCCG